GGUGGCUCAGUGGUAUAGCGCUUGCCUUGAAUGCAUGAGGCCCUGGGUUCAAUUCCUCAGCACCA
This is a non-coding RNA of Dipodomys ordii (Ord's kangaroo rat), 65 nucleotides long. Lineage: Eukaryota; Metazoa; Chordata; Mammalia; Rodentia; Heteromyidae. The record is from Rfam.